Long non-coding RNA from Ailuropoda melanoleuca (giant panda), 379 nucleotides. RefSeq lists it as uncharacterized. The record is from RefSeq and is a predicted model, not a curated record. The transcript has 2 exons. Lineage: Eukaryota; Metazoa; Chordata; Mammalia; Carnivora; Ursidae.
UAGCAGGUAAAAGAGGCCUCCUCAGCAGCACGCUGAAAAUCAAAGAGGGCGGCCGAAGGGCCGAAGGAUUCGGACUGCGGAGGAAAGCUUCGUCCUCGGACCCCACCUCCCUUCACCUUCCCGGCAAGACGAAGGAGGCGAAGGCUCAUUAGUGCCUUCGUUAAUUGACACCUGUAAUGAGGAAACUUUCCAAGAGGUGGCAGCUAGAGACUUUGAACUCCGGAAAGAAGGCUCCAAGGAAUAUUUGUUACUGGUUUAAAACAAUCAUGGUAGGACUGAACCUGUGUUUCAGUCCUUGCAGUGAAAUGUGAGCAGAAAUCUGUAGAGUGGGUCUUUUGGAAAAAAUGGCCGAUUACUAAUAAAAAAGGGACAAAUUCUA